CCUACGGGCGGCAGCAGUGGGGAAUAUUGGACAAUGGGCGAAAGCCUGAUCCAGCCAUGCCGCGUGUGUGAAGAAGGCCUUCGGGUUGUAAAGCACUUUCAGUGGGGAAGAAAGCCUUGGGGCUAAUACCCUCGAGGAAGGACAUCACCCACAGAAGAAGCACCGGCUAACUCCGUGCCAGCAGCCGCGGUAAUACGGAGGGUGCGAGCGUUAAUCGGAAUUACUGGGCGGAAAGCGCGCGUAGGCGGUCUGAUAAGCCGGUUGUGAAAGCCCCGGGCUCAACCUGGGAACGGCAUCCGGAACUGUCAGGCUAGAGUGCAGGAGAGGAAGGUAGAAUUCCCGGUGUAGCGGUGAAAUGCGUAGAGAUCGGGAGGAAUACCAGUGGCGAAGGCGGCCUUCUGGACUGACACUGACGCUGAGGUGCGAAAGCGUGGGUAGCAAACAGGAUUAGAUACCCGUGUAGUC
Molecule: ribosomal RNA, 465 nt
Filed under: Vreelandella stevensii
Lineage: Bacteria; Pseudomonadati; Pseudomonadota; Gammaproteobacteria; Oceanospirillales; Halomonadaceae
Description: partial 16S ribosomal RNA
Rfam family: Bacterial small subunit ribosomal RNA
Source: RNAcentral